AGUCACUGACAUUAGACUACCCCCGUAGUCCAGGGUGUAAACGCUGCAGACUGGGUGUUGGAGGCCCUUUGGGGGCAUUCAGUGCCGGAGAGAAGUUGUUAAGUCUGCUACUUGGGGAGUACGUCCGCAAGGAUGAAACUUAAAGGAAUUGGCGGGGGAGCACCGCAACGGGAGGAGCGUGCGGUUUAAUUGGAUUCAACACCGUAAAACUCACCAGGGAAGACUGUUACAUGAAGGCCGAGAUGAAGACUCUGCUAGAUUUUCAG
This 266-nucleotide ribosomal RNA is filed under the name uncultured archaeon. RNAcentral describes it as "partial 16S ribosomal RNA". It matches the Rfam family "Archaeal small subunit ribosomal RNA", at positions 718 to 982 of the family's 1478-position model. The record is from RNAcentral.